CUACUACUCUGGGGGCUGCACCUUGACUUGGCUGUGUUUCACCUGACUCUGAUCAGUCAUCAGCAGGGUAUAUAAACCCAGCCUCGCCCUGUGCUCAGUGUCAAGUCUUUGAUCCUGUUUGUUCUAGUGUUCCUGUUUCAUUGCUUCGCAUUAUUGACCCCGGCUUCCUGACUCGUUUAUUCUGACUUCUGGCAUCCCUUGACUUCGGCUACUCCUCAUUGUUCCUGUCCUCUGGCAUCCUUUG
Non-coding RNA from Pelobates cultripes (western spadefoot toad), 244 nucleotides. The record is from the annotation of a GenBank genome assembly. NCBI's taxonomy places the organism in Eukaryota, Metazoa, Chordata, Amphibia, Anura, Pelobatidae.